GACGAACGCUGGCGGCGUGCUUAACACUUGCAAGUCGAACGGAAAGGCCCUGCUUUUGUGGGGUGCUCGAGUGGCGAACGGGUGAGUAACACGUGAGUAACCUGCCCUUGACUUUGGGAUAACUUCAGGAAACUGGGGCUAAUACCGGAUAGGAGCUCCUGCUGCAUGGUGGGGGUUGGAAAGUUUCGGCGGUUGGGGAUGGACUCGCGGCUUAUCAGCUUGUUGGUGGGGUAGUGGCUUACCAAGGCUUUGACGGGUAGCCGGCCUGAGAGGGUGACCGGCCACAUUGGGACUGAGAUGCGGCCCAGACUCCUACGGGAGGCAGCAGUGGGGAAUAUUGCACAAUGGGCGGAAGCCUGAUGCAGCAACGCCGCGUGCGGGAUGACGGCCUUCGGGUUGUAAACCGCUUUCGCCUGUGACGAAGCGUGAGUGACGGUAAUGGGUAAAGAAGCACCGGCUAACUACGUG
This 468-nucleotide ribosomal RNA is filed under the name uncultured bacterium. Its description in RNAcentral is "partial 16S ribosomal RNA". It matches the Rfam family "Bacterial small subunit ribosomal RNA", at positions 28 to 507 of the family's 1533-position model. The record is from RNAcentral.